CAAUAGCGUAUAUUAAAGUUGUUGCGGUUAAAAAGCUCGUAGUUGGAGUUCUGCCAGGUGCCGCCUGUCCGCCCCAGUGGUGAGUACGUGGCGCGCAUUUGGCCCUUUCAAGGGGAGCGUAUCUGCACUUUAUUGUGUGGUGCGGGAUCCUUGACUUUUACUUUGAGGAAAUAGGAGUGUUCCAAGCAGGCUCUCGUCGUGCACAGCUCAGCAUGGAAUAAUAGCAUUGGACCUCGAUUCUAAGCUGUUGGUUGCCAGAAGCGAGGUAAUGAUGAAGAGGGAUAGUUGGGGGCAUUCGUAUUUAACUGUCAGAGGUGAAAUUCUUGGAUUUAUGAAAGACGAACUACUGCGAAAGCAUUUGCCAAGGAUGUUUUCAUUAA
RNAcentral lists this ribosomal RNA (380 nucleotides) under uncultured eukaryote. RNAcentral describes it as "partial 18S ribosomal RNA". It matches the Rfam family "Eukaryotic small subunit ribosomal RNA", at positions 592 to 976 of the family's 1831-position model. The record is from RNAcentral.